Molecule: ribosomal RNA, 500 nt
Filed under: uncultured bacterium
Lineage: Bacteria
Description: partial 16S ribosomal RNA
Rfam family: Bacterial small subunit ribosomal RNA
Source: RNAcentral
AUUGAACGCUGGCGGCAUGCCUUACACAUGCAAGUCGAACGGCAGCGCGGACUUCGGUCUGGCGGCGAGUGGCGAACGGGUGAGUAAUACAUCGGAACGUACCCUGUUGUGGGGGAUAACUAGUCGAAAGAUUAGCUAAUACCGCAUACGACCUGAGGGGGAAAGUGGGGGACCGCAAGGCCUCACGCAGCAGGAGCGGCCGAUGUCUGAUUAGCUAGUUGGUGGGGUAAAGGCCCACCAAGGCGACAAUCAGUAGCUGGUCUGAGAGGACGAUCAGCACGACUGGGACUGAGACGCGGCCCAGGCUCCUACGGGAGGCAGCAGUGGGGAAUUUUGGACAAUGGGGGCAACCCUGAUCCAGAAAUGCCGCGUGUGUGAAGAAGGCCUUCGGGUUGUAAAGCACUUUUGUCCGGAAAGAAAUCGCGCUGGUUAAUACCUGGCGUGGAUGACGGUACCGGAAGAAUAAGCACCGGCUAACUACGUGCCAGCCGCCGCAGUAA